UGUUAAAAAUUCUAAAAGGUUUUUAUCACCAAUCAAAUUAAAACGUUCCAUCCAUAUACCCAGGGCCAUGUAAAUAUGCUCUUCCUUUUUCGAUGAUAAUGAUUUCUGAUGAUGGACUGCUGAUUCUUGGACAACACAUGGAAAUUGCAACUGCAUUUCCAACCAUUUAUUUUGGCUGUUAUGCAUUCUCGCGGUUGUAUUUAGAACAUUACAUCGUUGAAAUUGUAUGGAAUUACGAUCCAGCAAUACAUCGGCACUCAAAGCCGUCAGUGUUGUAUUCCAAACAUCAAAGGUGAUGACACAAGAUACUAGAAAAGAAAACAAAGCAAUUUUGUGUCAAAUUUAAGGAAGGGUGACUAUCAGCAUAGAUUAUAUGUCUUAAAACAAAGUUAAAUGCGUGCAUCAAACCAUUUCACUGUCCCAAGUUUUAUGCAAGAACUUAAGCCAAGUUAAAAACGAUGUGCCUUACUAGGAAAAGGAGUGCAAUGUUGGUCAUCCUUUCAUUUCAUUUAUUAACCGAAUAUGUAAUAUAAAACCAAUAAGGCCCAUAAAAUAAUUACAUACAAACUUUUCAGUAUCCUGAGUAUAACAGAUAAUUAAGUUCAUUUCUUAACAUAAUGAGGUACUUUAUUAUAUUUACCUAA
Molecule: long non-coding RNA, 644 nt
Organism: Stomoxys calcitrans (stable fly)
Lineage: Eukaryota; Metazoa; Arthropoda; Insecta; Diptera; Muscidae
Exons: 2
Source: RefSeq, a predicted model, not a curated record